Molecule: long non-coding RNA, 1527 nt
Filed under: Equus caballus (horse)
Lineage: Eukaryota; Metazoa; Chordata; Mammalia; Perissodactyla; Equidae
Description: lncRNA (ENSECAG00000030004.3)
Source: RNAcentral
GUCUGAUGCCCAGCUGACAUCUGGAGGACAGGAGUGCAGUGUGAAGAGGUGAAGGCAGGGAAACAAGUGGCCCGCCCGGGGCCUCGAGGCUGGGCUAGCAAAGCUGAGAAUAUCAGUCGCCCAUUCUCCCCUGGUCACCAGCCCUGAUUUGUCCUUGGAGCUUCAAAUAGUGUCUUUGAGAAGUGAUGCUGACAUCACCAUAGUUAGCGUUUGCUGAGAGCCAGACUCCGUGCUGGGGGACCAGGGUGGGGAGAGUGAUAAUUUGCAGACCAGUAUAUGAAAGAGCAUCUCACCUCAACACGGCAUUUACGGAAGGCCCAGGGAGUCAGAGCGGGUGGUGGGAGCCCAGGCCCCUGGGCAUCAGGCCAGGCUUCCCAAUGGGACGUUGAGACCUUGCAGGACUCGUGAAAACCUCGAAGCUGCCAUGACCUGCAAGAAUGCAACAAUGGUGGAAUUGCAGUGCUGCAAAGACAGGACUCAGUGCCAAUUCACAGAGGAGGAAAUGGAGGCUCAGAGAAUUAAUCAUCCACCUGAGCUCACACAACAGGGACUCAAAGCCUCACCAAGACUCCAAGCAUCGCUCUGGAGACUAUCAGACUCCAGGGGCCCAGCACAGAGCCAGGUCUGAACCAAGUCCUCUCGGCUGGAACCCCUGUUCUGCCCAGUUCAGGCAUCAGGAAGAGUCAUCAUCCUGUGAGACUAACAACAACAACAGGGGAGCCUUCGCACGGCUCUGCAUGUGAUCGAGACCCACCACGUGCCAGGCCGCUGGGGCAUCUGUCCGCUGCCCCAUGAGGUAUUCCUCACCUGGAGACAGAGGCCGUCAGGUUGGGCCCUGCUCUCCCUCCAGCCACCACCCCAUGGCACCCCAGGAGCACUCUCCUGUGCUUGGGGAAGCCGCCAGCAGCCUCAGUUUCCCCAUCUGUGUGAGACGCUUGGCUCUUUGGACUCUGGAGACCCGCAGAGAGAAGCUCUCUCCCUGCUUGGCGGAGCCACGGACCUCAAAGGCUGGCCGCUGAAGGGCCCUGACAUCCUUGGGAACAAUGUCGCCUGUUUACCUGACAGAUUGUCUGCUUUCUUUUCAUCUCGGAGGAAAAGAGCUCCUGCUGGGAACCGCUAAUCCCAGGCGACCGGCCUGCUGCUAUCUGCUGUGGAGCAAACUGAGGCCCAGUGAAGCCUACGACACACAGGCCUGCACCCAUGCUGCACGAGGUGGUGGUGCAGGAGCCCAGAUGUGAACCAGGCUCUCCGGCAGCCACGGGAACAAGGUACAGGGCUCCUUGGAGAGGGCACGAAAGGUUUCUGGAGGCGGCAGAUGUGUGUAGGGUCUGGAAGCACCCACUGGAGUUUCCCAGCCAGACAAGAUGGGGAAGAGGCCCUGGAUGGGGAAAGACGUCUGCGAGGACGCAUUAGAAGCAAUGUGAGCAAAAUCUGAGGCACCCUAGGGUCUGUCCAAACACACUUUCCCAGGAAUUUUGUGUGUAAAAGAAGCAUUGAAAAUGAAAUCCUACUUCUAAAAUCAGUGAG